Molecule: transfer RNA, 75 nt
Filed under: Staphylococcus aureus
Lineage: Bacteria; Bacillati; Bacillota; Bacilli; Caryophanales; Staphylococcaceae
Also listed under: 1 other name
Description: tRNA-Asn
Rfam family: tRNA
About the family: Transfer RNA (tRNA) molecules are approximately 80 nucleotides in length.
Source: RNAcentral
UCCACAGUAGCUCAGUGGUAGAGCUAUCGGCUGUUAACCGAUCGGUCGUAGGUUCGAGUCCUACCUGUGAAGCCA